CGCGUAUUUCCUAUGAAAUGGUCACAUUCCCAACAAGAAUUAAAUAUGGCCGCAUGCAAACAACACGGUAAAAUUUUAACAGAUUAAUUAAAAUAACGAAAGAAUUUUAUUCUCAAAAUAUUUUGUUGUUGUUUGCAUGCAGCCACUGUUAAAAAAAUAAAUUAUGUUGUUUUACGAUGGCCGAAUUUUUCGGUUCCGGUUUCGGUUUUUAUACACAGCAGACGUAAACAAAAGUGAAAGUCGGACGACAGCAAUAGAUAUGAAGGCAAAAUCAUUUCAUUAACGGUAUUUAGCAUCUUUGACAAAUGGUAAGCUUCAAGAGAGCUAUUGGAAUUCUGAAAACAUGCAUACAAGGAUGACAUAGAUCCCAUGAAGUAAUGCUGCAGAAUGAAAUCUCAGUGAUCUGAUUGUUGCUGUUUUUCUUACUGAAGCUUGCAAAGGAAUAAACAGUGCCAAGCAAACAAAUUAUGAAAGUGUUUGAUAUCAUCUGACAUGGUAAAUUAUGACAAUCUUGGUGAUCUGCCGAUAUGGAUAGUCACUACAUUUCAGGAACACAAUAUCUUAUAUGGAUUGAACAUUUUUUCUGGAGCCAUUACUUAAUUAAUGCAUGUGUGGUACAGCCAAUGUCACACCGGUGUGAAAGUUGAUGGGGUCAGUUCUUUGAUACCUUGAUUACUAAAAACACACACUCUCUAUGGAAGAGCUACUCAGGACUUAUAUCAGCAAUUAUGGGUAGUUCAAAAAGUUAACUAAGUGAAACAUAAAAGUGACAGCGAUUUUAGGUCAAUGAAAUUCAUUGUUCCUUUUUUUAGCUCACCUGAGCUGAAAGCUUAAGUGAGCUCAGCUAUUCUGAUCACUUUUUGUUUGGCGUCCGUCUGUCUGUCUGCUUUUACAUUUUGACUUCUUUUCCCGAACCACUGGGCCAAUAUCAACCUAACUUUGCACAAAUCAUCCUUAUUUAGAUGAAGGGAUUUAAGUUUAUUAAAAUGAAGGACCACACCUUCCCUCAAAGGGAGAUAUUUAAGAA
Long non-coding RNA from Magallana angulata, 1027 nucleotides. RefSeq lists it as uncharacterized. NCBI's taxonomy places the organism in Eukaryota, Metazoa, Mollusca, Bivalvia, Ostreida, Ostreidae. The transcript has 2 exons. The record is from RefSeq and is a predicted model, not a curated record.